AUGGAGUUCUUGAUGCAGCCGGUGAACAGUAGAACGCUGAUAGAGGAAGUGAAUGACAGCGACUUCCUAAUGGAGCCUCUUCGCUAUCCCGUUCUGUCGAGGCCGGGCGAGGAGUUGCCGGCGGCGAGUGCAUCAAGUGCAGAUGCGCUCAUCUGCUCGCCGACUGCUCUGGAAACAGGAAAGGGUGCAGACCGGCCACAAGCUUCUGAAAACUCAAUAGAACAAGUUGAUCCGCAGGCUCCGGGAUGGACACGAAGGGUCCGGAUUGUAGCUGCUGCACCAGGGCGUGCCCCCAACCCAGACAGGAUGACAGCACUGGAGAAAUCGGUGCGCGUGUUUGCGGAGGCACCCGGUGACAAUGUCAUUGUGCCAAAAAUAGGGAUCAGCUUCGAUACACUUGGAGAGGCAUACGAUUUUUACAAUUUGUACUCAUGGGAGAAAGGAUUUGGUAUCAGAUAUGGGAAGAUCAGACUCAAUGUCAACAGGACAAAGUGCAUGCAAGAGAUAGUCUGCGGCUGUGCGGGUAAACCGAUCGUGGAGAAUACUCGUUCAUGCAGAUGUGAAUGUCCUGCUUUAGUUAGGCUGCUGCGGUCGAAGGAUAAUGGGUGGUAUAUAGCAGAGCACCGCGACGAGCACAACCACUCAUUGUCUCCGACAUAUGGGCAGACAUUGCACUGGCCAUCGCACAAACAUAUCGACGUCUACAGCAGAGAUUUGGUGAAGCAGCUGCGGGAAAAUAAUGUCAACUUGUCGAAAGUUUAUAGCAUCAUUGGAAGCUUUUUCGGUAAGAUGGAGAAUGUACCGUUCACAAAAAGAGCAUUGCGGAACUUGUGUGGAAAGAUUGGUCGUGACCAGGCAGAGGAUGACGUCCGGAAGACAAUGGAGGUGUUCCAAGAGCUAGGUGCGAAGGAUCAGCAAUUCACAUACAGAGUGCAAGCCGACAAGGAGGGGAGGAUUAGUACCCUCAUGUGGGCAAAUGGGAACAGCAGGCUCCAGUACACUUUCUUCGGUGACGUGGUGACAUUUGAUACAACUUACAGGACCAACUUGUAUGCACUGGCGGAGCUUCAGCCAGGCCAAAUGGGCCAUGGCCCGCCCAGCACAUAG
This 1107-nucleotide ribosomal RNA is filed under the name Triticum aestivum (bread wheat). RNAcentral describes it as "partial small subunit ribosomal RNA". Lineage: Eukaryota; Viridiplantae; Streptophyta; Magnoliopsida; Poales; Poaceae. The record is from RNAcentral.